Molecule: ribosomal RNA, 308 nt
Filed under: uncultured bacterium
Lineage: Bacteria
Description: partial 16S ribosomal RNA
Rfam family: Bacterial small subunit ribosomal RNA
Source: RNAcentral
GAGACAGCAGCCGCCACGGUAAUACGAGGGGGGCAAGCGUUGUUCGGAAUUAUUGGGCGUAAAGGGCGCGUAGGCGGUUUGACAAGUCUGAUGUGAAAUCUCUGGGCUCAACCCAGAGUCUGCAUCGGAAACUGUCGAGCUUGAGUAUGGGAGAGGUGAGUGGAAUUUCCGGUGUAGCGGUGAAAUGCGUAGAUAUCGGAAGGAACACCUGUGGCGAAAGCGGCUCACUGGACCAUUACUGACGCUGAGGCGCGAAAGCUAGGGGAGCAAACAGGAUUAGAUACCCCGGUAGUCCCUGUCUCUUAUAC